RNAcentral lists this ribosomal RNA (404 nucleotides) under Brucella melitensis. RNAcentral's name for it is "partial 16S ribosomal RNA". It matches the Rfam family "Bacterial small subunit ribosomal RNA", at positions 355 to 776 of the family's 1533-position model. The record is from RNAcentral. Lineage: Bacteria; Pseudomonadati; Pseudomonadota; Alphaproteobacteria; Hyphomicrobiales; Brucellaceae. RNAcentral also lists the same sequence under 2 other names.
UGGGGAAUAUUGGACAAUGGGCGCAAGCCUGAUCCAGCCAUGCCGCGUGAGUGAUGAAGGCCUUAGGGUUGUAAAGCUCUUUUAUCCGGGACGAUAAUGACGGUACCGGAGGAAUAAGCCCCGGCUAACUUCGUGCCAGCAGCCGCGGUAAUACGAAGGGGGCUAGCGUUGCUCGGAAUCACUGGGCGUAAAGGGCGCGUAGGCGGCGUUUUAAGUCGGGGGUGAAAGCCUGUGGCUCAACCACAGAAUGGCCUUCGAUACUGGGACGCUUGAGUAUGGUAGAGGUUGGUGGAACUGCGAGUGUAGAGGUGAAAUUCGUAGAUAUUCGCAAGAACACCGGUGGCGAAGGCGGCCAACUGGACCAUCACUGACGCUGAGGCGCGAAAGCGUGGGGAGCAAACAGG